CGUAGGCAGCGAGCGUUGUUCGGAGUUACUGGGCGUAAAGGGUGCGUAGGCGGUUGUUUAAGUUUGGUGUGAAAUCUCCCGGCUCAACUGGGAGGGUGCGCCGAAUACUGAAUGACUAGAGUGCGGGAGAGGAUAGUGGAAUUCCUGGUGUAGCGGUGAAAUGCGUAGAUAUCAGGAGGAACACCGGUGGUGUAGACGGCUAUCUGGACCGUAACUGACGCUGAGGCACGAAAGCGUGGGUAGCAAACAGGAUUAGAUACCCUGGUAGUCCACGCCCUAAACGAUGCAUAUUUGGUGUGGGCAGUUCAGUCUGUCCGUGCCGGAGCUAACGCGUUAAAUAUGCCGCCUGGGGAGUACAGUCGCAAGGCUG
This 370-nucleotide ribosomal RNA is filed under the name uncultured organism. Its description in RNAcentral is "bacterial SSU rRNA". It matches the Rfam family "Bacterial small subunit ribosomal RNA", at positions 526 to 896 of the family's 1533-position model. The record is from RNAcentral.